Molecule: small nucleolar RNA, 89 nt
Organism: Lolium rigidum
Lineage: Eukaryota; Viridiplantae; Streptophyta; Magnoliopsida; Poales; Poaceae
Product: small nucleolar RNA R16
Exons: 1
Source: RefSeq, a predicted model, not a curated record
GCUGGCAAGUGAUGAAUAGAUAUCCUACACUCUCAAUGGGAACUUCCCAUGUGUGGAUCAAUAAUCUCCGCUUAUUUUCUGAUGCCUUU